GGCAAGUGUGGAGGUUGUCAGUUAUUUGAGGCGUUUAGUAGACAAAACUCAACAGCCAUGGUUGUCAAAGUGAACGUAAUUUAUUGUGGUGGAUGAGGGUACAGGCCCAAGUAUGAGCGACUGAAAGCUGAUCUUGUGGAUGAGUUUGGCUCCGACAUUGAGAUGACUGGUGUAUCAACUCCAGAAGUCAGUGGAUAUCUAGAGGUUGAGGUCAAUGGACGUCUUGUUCAUUCCAAAAAGAAUGGAGACGGCUACGUUGAUAAUCAACAGAAACUGAACAAGAUCAUUGAGGCCGUCAAGGCAGCUCUUUGAUUCUUGACAACAUUCAGCAACACAGCUAAACAGCUCCGCGUUGGACAUUGUGGCUAUCCUUAUUAUGACAGAAAUACCCCAAAAGUAGUUCCGGCUAUUCGGGUAUUUCUCGAGACUCUACAGGGAGACACCAGGCUGUCCAAGAUGGAAGGAUUUGACUGUGUCAAUUAUUAUUUUCUUUGAUGUGGUAUUGUGCAGUGUAGACUAGAAUUAAUAUGGUGUAAUUGGUAACAUGUUAAAAGGGAGUUUAUUUUAAGAAAAACAUUAAUCUUAACAUUGGGUUACUUGUAAAGAAAAGGGCCCCAUAAACGAGGAUUGUUAUUUUCCUUACCAUGUUGUGCAAGUCAAUGAUUUUGUUUUCGCUAUUUUCAUUAUUUACAACCACAGUAAGUUACUGCACAGGAUGGAAAUACUUUAAAGCAAAAAACACAAGAACCUGACUUGGGGGUCAUUAAAGUGCAGUUGUUUGAUCUUGGUGAUAUUUAUGAUACCAUAUUCAUUUAUGUUUUCAUUUAUAUUUUGAGAAAUGUAUAAUUGAAGUAAAAUGGUACCUGACCCUUGACUUUAGAGGAAUAAAGAAAAUCAAAAAUUGAUUUUAUGGGGUCUUCAUGUUAGUUAUGACUAUAUUCCUUACCAAGCAGUGAUAUAUAAAAAUAAAACCAAAGAUAACAUGAAAAUAUACUACACACCAAGGCUGAAAAUGUGAUUCACUCUUUUUUACAAUGGUUAUUUGGAAUGUGCUUUGAAUUUCAGAAUGAUUUUUAUAAUUGUAACUCUCAAACCCUCCUAUGGCUAGCUAAUCAGAGGUGGGACUGGCCUGGCAUCAAUGGCUUGCUUUAUGAUUCUGUCAGAGGCAUUUUAUAUAAAUCCACAUAUUCCAUGCUAUUUUCACAUUAUGUGUACAUUACAUGUAAUGCAUGAAUAAUGAUUUUUUUGCAAAUGAAAUAUUUGUUAAAAACAACAUUUAUAUGAACUUUAAUAGAUAAGUUGAUUAUAAUACACGGAACUCUGUUACCAGAUUCAUGUAUCCCAAUGGGCUAAGCAAAUCAAGAAGAUUUCAGUUGAAACACACCGAAGUACAGUAGCACAUUAAAUACUUCAUAUUUCAUGCCAAAGAUAUAUUGCUAUGAAAAUGUUUUGUCUGUCAAUUUAUCCUGACAGGUAGCCUAAUCCUGUCAAUGAACAAUUAUCAUUUUAGAAUGGGCAUUAUAUUGGAAGAUUCAUUUCCAAUCUUAAUGAUCUUGAUGCUUCUUCAGAACCAUAUAACAUGUCAUGGUGUUGGGAUUUGUGUGAUGAAGUGCCUAUUUUCACUUUUCUUGUUUACAUUUUUUUUCUUGAAGCCGAUUAAAAUGGUUUUGUCAUUCCCAUCAUCAA
Lytechinus variegatus (green sea urchin) is the source of this 1686-nucleotide long non-coding RNA. RefSeq lists it as uncharacterized. The transcript is spliced from 6 exons. Lineage: Eukaryota; Metazoa; Echinodermata; Echinoidea; Temnopleuroida; Toxopneustidae. The record is from RefSeq and is a predicted model, not a curated record.